UUGAGAGUCAGGAAGCCUGAGGUCUAAUUUUAGCUGUCAUGACCAGCUGUGCAAUAUCAGGGAUAAUACAAUGAGAGUGGUAUCUGAAGGGCUGUCGUGAGGAAGAACAACUAGACUUUUACACAGCCAUCUCCUAUUGGGAUGAUUUACAGGACCCAGAUCAGAACGUACGAGAGGGAACAUGACCUUGCCACAGCCAUGACUUCAAAUAUAUAUGUUUGUGGUACAUGGCAUGUGUGUGUGUGUAUACAUGUGUGUGUAUUGCAACAGCCAGCAAGCCACCAGCAUGUCCCAACACCCCAGGUGAGAACCACUAUAAUAGAGGGAUUCUUUAUAUAGAGUGGGAA
Long non-coding RNA from Acinonyx jubatus (cheetah), 347 nucleotides. RefSeq lists it as uncharacterized. NCBI's taxonomy places the organism in Eukaryota, Metazoa, Chordata, Mammalia, Carnivora, Felidae. The record is from RefSeq and is a predicted model, not a curated record. The transcript is spliced from 3 exons.